This is a long non-coding RNA of Camarhynchus parvulus, 2545 nucleotides long. RefSeq lists it as uncharacterized. The record is from RefSeq and is a predicted model, not a curated record. The transcript has 4 exons. NCBI's taxonomy places the organism in Eukaryota, Metazoa, Chordata, Aves, Passeriformes, Thraupidae.
CGAGCCCAUGUGUCCCACUUGUCUGGAAGAACGUUUGGAGUCUGGUAGUCUGGUCCUUUUCGUAGCUCCAGAGGAUUUUUAGGAGCAUGGGGAGCAUGGGAUGCAUGAACCUGUGGACCAACAAAACACUCUGGAGAAUGCUGGCUGUGGAUAAAAGCAUCUGGAAGUUUCUACCAUCUUUUUACCCUGUUUUCUCCUGGGUCACUCUGUGUCAUUUGUGGCCCUGUCCUAAGGAUUAUAGCACACAGUCACUUACUGGAAUACCUCCCCAUGCAUCUUCUUGAAAUUGAACCACUGCUUUACUCAGCUGGAAGAUAUUUUCUAUUCUCCCAGAGCUUUUCCAGUGCAGCAGCAGCACUCCUGUCCAGCAGGUCUCGAUUGACUGCAGAAAGGAGAAGGGAGGAGUGUGUCAAAGGGAGGUCAGAUCCUGCCAGGGUUUCCUGGCAAAUGAGGUCUAUCCACUGUUUGGAUGAUGGAACUUGAUGAGCUGCAAUUCAGUUUGGAUUACAAUAUUUCAGAAGACUUUUUGAACUUGCCAGGCAACCCUUCCCCUAGACUUUGGGGACAGAGGAGCUUAAAUUUAUGUUUCCAGUGUCACACAAGGAGAUAGAAUGGAGUUGGCUGCUUUACACAAGUAAUGAAAAUCAAUGCUGUGUUGCUCUUGGAAGGAGUGCUUAUAAGGAGAAAAGUGUGGCAUACACAUCUUGGUUUAGAGGCAGAUUUUAUCUGGGAAGAAUGUGCCCAGGGGAAGAUACAAGAAGAAGGAGAAGAGGUGAUGCUACAAGCCAGCUUCUUGACCUCCAGAGUGGGACUGAAGCUUUUUAACAAGAUUUAUCUGGAAAGUAUGACUGACAGGAGCAGCUUACUCACCAUUAGAUAAGUAUUGCAGAUGACUCAUGCUGGAGUAUUGAUAGCUGCUGCUAAGAUGGAUAUCCUGUUUUAUAACAGCUGUAGUGUGAUGCCAAGAGCCAGAAACCUUAAUUUCACUGUCCAUGCUUUUCCCUGAAUGUGCUUUGGGUCUCUGGCACCUUUUCUCCUGUGUUUGUCCAUCUAAAGGGUUCACAGGGAGGGGAGGUUUUGCUUCCCUCAGUGGGGUACAGGAUAUGGGACAGCUCAUGUCACCUUGAAAUGAAAACUAGUGUUGAAAUGCUGCAGCUUUUAUAGGUGUUCUCCAGGACAUGCAAUAUUUGUCUUUUUAAUAGAUACCAUUAGUGACUUUCCUCGAUUCUUUGGGUUUUUUUGUUUUGUUUGUGUUUUUUCAGAGCCAUUAUACCCCUUCUUCAGCAGAACAAACCAGAAGGUGUAGAAACAGGUAAGGCAGCUGCUGUUGCAGCAUGUUACUUUUGAAUCAUUAAGGGAAAAAUACUGGCUGCAGUAGAGUGCAAAAAAAACCCCGUUGACUCAAUGGCAAGUGAGAGUUGUACCCAAUGAACUCAGCUCCAUGAGAGGCCCUGGAAUUGCUACAUCCAGGGACAAACUUGCAGGCUACCUGAGAGCACCUGUCUGAACCUCCCUCUGCCUCCAAAACCACUGGCCUCAAGGCUGCGUGAGCAAUAGGCGAUGAGAUUUAAGAAGUGAUGAGCAAUAGAAAGGAGCCUGCCCUUGGGGCAGAUGCAAAAGGAGCUGAGCUGUGAAGGUGGGGGAUAUGUCCUGGAUGGCAGGAGCUGCUGGGGAGGUGUUAACCCACAUGGGAUGGCAGGGGACUGAGAUGGCUUUAGCUUGGAUGGGUGCAAAGGGCCAUGCAGCAAUGAGAGAAAUUUGGAGUUAAAAGGAGAAAUUUUUCAAGGCAGCACUGUAGCGAAGGCCAUGCUGCUAGUGAUGGCAGCACAUGUGGCUCUGCCCCAUGUGCCUACCUGUGUGUGGGUGGUGUCACUGGGGAUGGCUGGGACCCCACCUGUACCACACUCUUGGGCAUCACCUGUGGUUCAUACCAUCUUUACACUGCCGAGAAUGUUUGGUUUCCACGGUGCUGGGCCAUGACUGAGAAGCUGUGGCUUGAGCAGUGUGUCCCUUUCACCAGCAGGAGCCUGGAGCAGGACCUUCCAGUGGGGCAGUGGAGGUGUGUCAGGUGCUGCACCUGAUUUCUCAGCAAAAUGAACCAGAGCCUGGAAGAAGAAUCUGGCUUGAGGAUCUGUGCUGUGUCCCAGCAGCAUGAUUUGGGUCUCAGCAUUUACUGUGAGGGUGGUGAGACACUAGAGCAGGUUACCCAGAGAACUCUGGAUGUUUCCUGUGGAACACUUCAAUCCCUGGAAGUGUUCAAGGCUGGGCUGGACAGAGCUCUAAGCAACCUGAUCUAGUGAGAGAUGUCCCUGCCCAUAGCAGGGGGGUUGGAUUAGAUCAUCCUUGAAGGUCCCUUACAACCCAACACAUUCUAUGGUUCUGGUUUUUUGAUACUUUGCUACAUUCAUUGGAGCUUGUGUUCUUCAGGCUGUAACAGCCCUUUGGAGUAAAGAGCUGGAUCCUGAUCAUGUGUAAAAUAAAACAAACUUAUUGCAUCUGGCUCCAGCAGAAACCCCUGCAUGAUGGCUUGUAACAUAGUCUCAGU